GACGAACGCUGGCGGCGUGCUUAAUACAUGCAAGUCGAACGGAGCUUAGCCGAUAGUUUUCUCUAUUGGCGACGGCUUAGUGGCGGACGGGUGAGUAACGCGUGGGUAAUCUGCCCCUAAGUCCGGGAUAACAGCGCGAAAGUGCUGCUAAUACCGGAUAUGCUUCCGAGGUCGCAUGAACUGGGAAGGAAAGGGAUACCGCUUAGGGAUGAGCCCGCGUCCCAUUAGCUAGUUGGUGAGGUAACGGCUCACCAAGGCGACGAUGGGUAGCCGGCCUGAGAGGGUGGACGGCCACACUGGGACUGAGACACGGCCCAGACUCCUACGGGAGGCAGCAGUAGGGAAUUUUCCGCAAUGGGCGAAAGCCUGACGGAGCAACGCCGCGUGAGGGAGGAAGGCCUUCGGGUCGUAAACCUUUGUCAUCGAGGACGAUAAUGACGGUACUCGAGGAGGAAGCCCCGGCUAACUACGUGCCAGCAGCCGCGGUAACACGUAGGGGGCGAGCGUUGUCCGGAAUUACUGGGCGUAAAGGGCGCGUAGGCGGCCCAAUAAGUCAGAUGUGAAAGUCCUGGGCUUAACCCAGGGAUUGCAUUUGAAACUGUUGGGCUUGAGGACAGGAGAGGAAAGCGGAAUUCCCAGUGUAGCGGUGAAAUGCGUAGAUAUUGGGAGGAACACCAGUGGCGAAGGCGGCUUUCUGGA
Molecule: ribosomal RNA, 699 nt
Filed under: uncultured bacterium
Lineage: Bacteria
Description: bacterial SSU rRNA
Rfam family: Bacterial small subunit ribosomal RNA
Source: RNAcentral